Molecule: ribosomal RNA, 253 nt
Filed under: uncultured bacterium
Lineage: Bacteria
Description: partial 16S ribosomal RNA
Rfam family: Bacterial small subunit ribosomal RNA
Source: RNAcentral
UACGUGGGCAGCGAGCGUUGUUCGGAGUUACUGGGCGUAAAGGGUGUGUAGGCGGUUGUUUAAGUUUGGUGUGAAAUCUCCCGGCUCAACUGGGAGGGUGCGCCGAAUACUGAAUGACUAGAGUGCGGGAGAGGUGAGUGGAAUUCCUGGUGUAGCGGUGAAAUGCGUAGAUAUCAGGAGGAACACCGGUGGUGUAGACGGCUCACUGGACCGUAACUGACGCUGAGACACGAAAGCGUGGGUAGCAAACAGG